This 60-nucleotide transfer RNA is filed under the name Raillietina sp. HL-2022. RNAcentral describes it as "tRNA-Ser". The record is from RNAcentral. Lineage: Eukaryota; Metazoa; Platyhelminthes; Cestoda; Cyclophyllidea; Davaineidae.
AAGGGAAAUAUAUAAGAUUACUGCUAAUAAUUUUUUGUCAGUUUGUUCUGACUUCUCUUU